This is a non-coding RNA of Nothobranchius furzeri (turquoise killifish), 804 nucleotides long. The record is from the annotation of a RefSeq genome assembly. Lineage: Eukaryota; Metazoa; Chordata; Actinopteri; Cyprinodontiformes; Nothobranchiidae.
UUUCCGCUGAGACCCAUCAGACAAACUCUGUUGGGUUUUAAGUUUGAUUCAAUGCAAACUCAGGCUCCUCCUUUCUGCUAUAAAAUGUCUCAUCAGUUUAGAGUCGAGUUCACAGGAUGUUUGUGUCAUCAGGCAUCAUGUUUUCUGCUGCUCUGCUGCUGAUCUUAGCAGCUCAAGGUGUGAAGAGUGAACAGCUGACUCAGCCAGCCUCUGUGAAUGUGCAGCCAGGUCAGCGUCUGACCAUCAGCUGUCAGGUCUCUUAUUCUCUCAGUGACUACUGGACAGCUUGGAUCAGACAGCCUGCAGGAAAAGGCCUGGAAUGGAUCGGGAUGAAAUUUACUGGAAACUCUCACUAUAAAGAGUCGCUGAAGAACAAGUUCAGCAUUGAUUUAGACUCUUCCAGUAAAACAGUGACUCUGAUUGGACAGAACAUGCAGCCUGACGACUCUGCUGUGUAUUACUGUGCCAGAGAGCCACAGUGACACAAACAUCAGAACAGCUGAACAAAAACCCCUCAGAGUCUGAAGGCAGAUGCAAUCCAUCACCAGAAGAGGAGCUCUCAGUCCAUUAAUGAUUCCCAGACCAGUGGACUUUAUUAUAUAAUGGGUUACGCAGCGUUGAAAUCUUCAUUUUAAACCCACACGCUGUAACACACACAACAAAAGAAAUUAAAUUCCCAGAAUAACCAACAACCUUUAAGGGUAAAUUCUUCAAGAAUCCAAGUAUUUUGUUGAUUGUCCUUCCAGCGGUUCAACAGGUUGAGAGAAAUAACUGGAAAACAAAAUAAAUAAAAAACUUUAUAAG